UUUACGGGAAGCAGCAGUGGUUAUUUUUUUGACAAUGGGGGCAAGCCUGAUCCAGCCAUGCCGCGUGUGUGAAGAAGGCCCUCGGGUUGUAAAGCACUUUCAGCAGGGAGGAAGGCUUCGGGCUAAUACCCUGGAGUACUUGACGUUACCUGCAGAAGAAGCACCGGCUAAUUUCGUGCCAGCACCCGCGGUAAUACGAAGGGUGCGAGCGUUUUUCGGAAUUACUGGGCGUAAAGCGCGCGUAGGCGGCGAUUUAAGUCGGAUGUGAAAUCCCCGGGCUCAACCCAGGAAAUGCAUCCGAUACUGGAUGGCUAGAGUGCAGUAGAGGGAAGUGGAAUUCCCGGUGUAGCGGUGAAAUGCGUAGAGAUAUGGAGGAACACCAGUGGGGAAGGCGGCCUCCUGGACGGACACUGCCGUUGGGAGGCGAAAGCGUGGGGGUCAACCAGGAUUAGAUACCCUGGUAGUCCACCCCGUAAACGAUGUCUACUAGCCGGGGUUGCUUCACUGUUCCGGUGGCGCAGCUAACGCGAUA
This 532-nucleotide ribosomal RNA is filed under the name uncultured bacterium. RNAcentral's name for it is "bacterial SSU rRNA". It matches the Rfam family "Bacterial small subunit ribosomal RNA", at positions 338 to 862 of the family's 1533-position model. The record is from RNAcentral.